Molecule: ribosomal RNA, 412 nt
Filed under: uncultured microorganism
Description: bacterial SSU rRNA
Rfam family: Archaeal small subunit ribosomal RNA
Source: RNAcentral
GCGCACCAGGCGAGAAACCUCCGCAAUGCGCGAAAGCGCGACGGGGCCACCCCGAGUGCCGCCCGCUGAGGGUGGCUUUUCCCCGGUGUAGACAGCCGGGGGAAUAAGGGGAGGGCAAGUCUGGUGUCAGCCGCCGCGGUAAUACCAGCUCCCCGAGUGGUGGGGACGAUUAUUGGGCCUAAAGCGUCCGUAGCCGGCCCGGCAAGUCUCCCGUUAAAUCCAGCGAUCUAAUCGCUGGACUGCGGGAGAUACUGUCGGGCUAGGGGGCGGGAGAGGCCGGCGGUAUUCCCGGGGUAGGGGUGAAAUCCUAUAAUCCCCGGAGGACCACCAGUGGCGAAGGCUGCCGGCUGGAACGCGCCCGACGGUGAGGGACGAAAGCCGGGGGGCGAACCGGAUUAGAUACCCGCGUAGU